GUUAAAAAGCUCGUAGUCGGAUUUCAGGGCGGGGUGGCCGGUCUGCCGAUGGGUAUGCACUGGUUGGCUCGUUCUUCCUUCUGGGGACUGCGCCUGCUCUUGACUGAGUGGGUGUAGGAAACAGGACUUUUACUUUGAAAAAAUCAGAGUGUUUAAAGCAGGCCAAGAUGCUCUUGCAUGGAUUAGCAUGGGAUAAUGGAAUAGGACUUUGGUGCUAUUUUGUUGGUUUCGAACACCGAAGUAAUGAUUAAUAGGGACAGUCAGGGGCACUCGUAUUCCGUUGAGAGAGGUGAAAUUCUUAGACCAAUGGAAGACGAACUUCUGCGAAAGCAUUUGCCAGGGAUGUUUUCACUGAUCAAGAACGAAAGUAAGGGGAUCGAAGAUGAUCAGAUACCGUCGUAGUCUUUACCAUAAACCAUGCCGACUAGGGAUUGGAGGAUGUUCAUUUUGACUCCUUCAGCACCUUAUGAGAAAUCAAAGUCUUUGGGUUCCGGGGGGAGUAUGGUCGCAAGGCUGAAACUUAAAGGAAUUGACGGAAGGGCACCACCAGGAGUGGAGCCUGCGGCUUAAUUUGACUCAACACGGGGAAACUCACCAGGUCCAGACAUAGUAAGGAUUGACAGAUUGAGAGCUCUUUC
Molecule: ribosomal RNA, 638 nt
Filed under: uncultured marine eukaryote
Lineage: Eukaryota
Description: SSU rRNA
Rfam family: Eukaryotic small subunit ribosomal RNA
Source: RNAcentral